RNAcentral lists this ribosomal RNA (255 nucleotides) under uncultured bacterium. RNAcentral's name for it is "partial 16S ribosomal RNA". It matches the Rfam family "Bacterial small subunit ribosomal RNA", at positions 524 to 776 of the family's 1533-position model. The record is from RNAcentral.
UACGUAGGGGGGCUAGCGUUGUCCGGAAUCAUUGGGCGUAAAGAGCGUGUAGGCGGCCCGGUAAGUCCGCUGUGAAAGUCGGGGGGCUCAACCCUCGAAUGCCGGUGGAUACUGUCGGGCUAGAGUGCGGAAGAGGCGAGUGGAAUUCCUGGUGUAGCGGUGAAAUGCGCAGAUAUCAGGAGGAACACCGAUUGCGAAGGCAGCUCGCUGGGACGUCACUGACGCUGAGACGCGAAAGCGUGGGGAGCAAACAGG